AGAGUUUGAUCAUGGCUCAGAAUGAACGCUGGCGGCGUGCCUAACACAUGCAAGUCGAGCGGGAAAUCACACUUCGGUGUGAGAGUAGAGCGGCGCACGGGUGAGUAACGCGUGGAUAAUCUACCCAUGGAUUGGGGAUAACCCUGCGAAAGCGGGGCUAAUACCUGAUAGUCUGGUCAUUAUAUAGAUGAUCGGUAAAGGUGGCCUCUGAUACAAGCUACUGUCCGUGGAUGAGUCCGCGUCUCAUUAGCUGGUUGGUGGGGUAAUGGCCUACCAAGGCGACGAUGAGUAGCUGGUCUGAGAGGAUGAUCAGCCACACUGGGACUGGAACACGGCCCAGACUCCUACGGGAGGCAGCAGUGGGGAAUAUUGGGCAAUGGGCGCAAGCCUGACCCAGCAACGCCGUGUGAGGGAAGAAGGUUUUCGGAUCGUAAACCUCUGUCAGAAGGGAAGAAGUGGCAGAUAUUUAAUAUAUAUUUGCUUUGACGGUACCUUCAGAGGAAGCACCGGCUAACUCCGUGCCAGCAGCCGCGGUAAUACGGAGGGUGCAAGCGUUAUUCGGAAUCACUGGGCGUAAAGCGCGCGUAGGUUGCGUGGUAAGUCAGAUGUGAAAGCCC
Molecule: ribosomal RNA, 617 nt
Filed under: uncultured bacterium
Lineage: Bacteria
Description: bacterial SSU rRNA
Rfam family: Bacterial small subunit ribosomal RNA
Source: RNAcentral